RNAcentral lists this ribosomal RNA (480 nucleotides) under uncultured bacterium. RNAcentral's name for it is "bacterial SSU rRNA". It matches the Rfam family "Bacterial small subunit ribosomal RNA", at positions 32 to 507 of the family's 1533-position model. The record is from RNAcentral.
AACGCUGGCGGCAGGCUUAAUACAUGCAAGUCGAACGGUAACAUGUCGGAGCAACUGAUGAUGACGAGUGGCGCACGGGUGCGUAACGCGUAUGCAACUACCCAUAACCGGAACAUAACGUUGAGAAAUCGGCGCUAAUAUUCCAUGUGUAUAUUUUGUGGCAUCAUAGAAUAUAUAAAGAUUAAUUGGUUAUGGAUGGGCAUGCGUAUCAUUAGCUAGUUGGUGGGGUAACGGCCUACCAAGGCUGCGAUGAUUAGGGGUUCUGAGAGGAUAACCCCCCACACUGGAACUGAGACACGGUCCAGACUCCUACGGGAGGCAGCAGUAGGGAAUAUUGGGCAAUGGAGGCAACUCUGACCCAGCCAUGCCGCGUGAAGGAAGACGGUCCUAUGGAUUGUAAACUUCUUUUAUCAUAGAGUAACCGCAGGGACGUGUCCCUGCCUGCAAGUAUAUGAUGAAUAAGCAUCGGCUAACUCCGUG